AAAGAAAUCUAGAAAAAAUCAGCACUGCUCAUUCAGGCCUCCAGACUGUUGCCCACACAGUUGUACCUGUCAGAAAUGCCCUCCCUCUGCCAACCAACCCUCUCCCAUCCUCAGGGCCAUGGCGGGGCCUCCACUUCCAUACAUCUUCCCUGGCCACUCCAGUCCUAGGGACGCUUUGCCUUCUUGGGAAAUGGCAGCUUCAUCCUUACCAGUUGCUCAGGCCAGAAAACCUGGGACCAUCUAUAACUUCUCUCCCUCACGCCUCAGACCAGCCCAUCAGAUUGGCCCUUGCUUCAAAAUCUAUCCAGAAUGCAACCAUCUCUCACCCAGAUGCCUGCAGCAGGCUCCUAUCCCACCUCCCAUUUCUAGCCUUGUCUCUCCAUUCUCUGCAUUCUCAGAAUAAAAGCCCAUGUCCCUGG
Molecule: long non-coding RNA, 419 nt
Organism: Leopardus geoffroyi (Geoffroy's cat)
Lineage: Eukaryota; Metazoa; Chordata; Mammalia; Carnivora; Felidae
Exons: 2
Source: RefSeq, a predicted model, not a curated record